AACCGACGUUUUUAUGUUUGAGGAAGAAGGAUAUGCAGCAGCGAGCAGUACGAGCCCAGGCUCGGUUUAUCCCAGGGAUGUCAUCGAAUAAUGGAUGAUGAUCGGGCCAGCUAUCGGAGGAGUUACUUAACUGAUCUAACAUAGCGAAAGCAAAUGACAGCAACGCCUGUGGCCGAGCGGAAAAUCACGGGCGUUACCUCAGUGGGGAGCCGCUCCGACAGGUAGUGGAACGGUAGUGAGGUAAAUUAUUAACGUAGUAUGACAACGCGGCGGUUGAGUGCAUUCGUAUACUAUAAACUACGUGUGAGUAUCUAAAUGCUGUAAGAAAUGAUUAUUCGACAAUAGAAUAAAUGGUAAUAAAAAUGUAA
Molecule: long non-coding RNA, 368 nt
Organism: Wasmannia auropunctata (little fire ant)
Lineage: Eukaryota; Metazoa; Arthropoda; Insecta; Hymenoptera; Formicidae
Exons: 2
Source: RefSeq, a predicted model, not a curated record